Molecule: non-coding RNA, 514 nt
Organism: Chiloscyllium plagiosum (whitespotted bambooshark)
Lineage: Eukaryota; Metazoa; Chordata; Chondrichthyes; Orectolobiformes; Hemiscylliidae
Source: RefSeq, a predicted model, not a curated record
UUGGAGGGUUGGUGUUGACUUGAUGGGCUGAAUGGCCUGUUUCCACUCUAUAUGGGAAGAUGCAUCCAUUGUCUGCAUCUUAAUACCAUUAAAUCUGAUCUCUCAAACUGCUGAUGUUUCAAAAAAUGCAAUGGUUAAGUUCAUCCAGUGCCACCAAUAAAACCAUCACCAUUUACAAGGUUACAGAAGUUGACAGCCUCUGCAGUUAGUCUCACAGGAAGGGCUUCUCCUGUUUUAAGAGUUCUGUUGCCAUUGGAAACCAUGGAGCAGCUCACCUCAUCUAAACCAUAAUGUGUAGAUUGGAUUGAGGUUGCAAUAAAAACAGGAAAUGGUUUCAUAAAAUAAACUGGAGUGGCAGCAAAGGGACUCUCCUUUAGAAAACUAGCCUCACUGCUUUGAGGCUGGCUUUAAGCACAAUUGUUUUCUCAGUAAUUCUCUCUGAAGCAUUGCCUAAUUCAUUUUGUAAGCAAUUUGCUGAUUGUUAUAUUUCAAUAUCACCAUGUUUAUAUUUUAA